RNAcentral lists this ribosomal RNA (1433 nucleotides) under metagenome. Its description in RNAcentral is "bacterial SSU rRNA". It matches the Rfam family "Archaeal small subunit ribosomal RNA". The record is from RNAcentral.
ACCCGUUGAUCCUGCGGGAGAUUGCUGCUAUUCGGAUUCGACUUAGCCAUGCAAGUCUAGGGGGCACUUGUGUCACCGGCAAAAUGCUCAGUAACACGUUACUAAUCUGCCCAUUGGUCAGGGAUAGCCUCGGGAAACUGAGGGUAAAACCUGAUAGGACAUGAGAUCUGGAAUGGCUCAUGACUCAAAGGUUACGCCAAUGGAUGAGGUAGCGGCUGAUUAGCUAGUUGGUAGGGUAAUGGCCUACCAAGGCGAUGGUCAGUAGGGGCCAUGAGAGUGGUAGCCCCGAGGGGGUCACUGAGAUACUGGACCCAGCCCUACGGGGUGCAGCAGGCGCGGAACCUUUACAAUGCACGAAAGUGUGAUAAGGGGAUCCGAAGUGCUUAUGGUUUCCAUAGGCUUUUUUUCAAGACUAAAUCUCUUGGAGAAUAAGUGGUGGGCAAGACUGGUGCCAGCAGCCGCGGUAACACCAGCGCCACAAGUGGCAAUCGCAUAUUGGGCCUAAAGCGUCCGUAGUCGGCUUUGUAAAUCUCUUGUGAAAUUGGCUUGCUUAACAAGUCAGCGUGCGAGAGACACUACACUGCUUGGAACCGGGAGGAGUUAGAGGUAUUUCGGGGGGAACGGUAAAAUGUGAUAAUCCUCGAAGGACCACCUGUGGCGAAGGCGUCUAACUAGAACGGAUUCGACGAUGAGGGACGAAGGCUAGGGGAGCAAACCGGAUUAGAUACCCGAGUAGUCCUAGCAGUAAACUCUGUGAGCUAGGUGUUGUGCAAUCUUUACGAUUGUGCAGUAUCGAAGCGAAGGCAAUAAGCUCACCGCCUGGGAAGUACGGUCGCAAGACUGAAACUUAAAGGAAUUGGCGGGGGAGCACUACAACGGGUGCGGCGUGCGGUUUAAUCUAACUCCACACAGAGAAUCUCACCAGAGGCGACGGCAGGAUGACAGUCAGUCUGAAGGGCUUACUUGACGAGCCGAGAGGUAGUGCAUGGCCGCCGUCAGCUCGUGCCGUGAGGUGUCCUGUUAAGUCAGGCAACGAGCGAGACCUACGUCCACUAUUGACAGCAGGCAUUUUUGUGACUGGUCACAUUGUGGGGACUGCCCGUGAAAGCGGGAGGAAGGUGUAGGCAACGGUAGGUCUGUAUGCUCCGAAUCUUCUGGGCUACACGCGCGCAACAAUGGCUGUGACAAUGGGAUGCUACUCCGAAAGGAGGCGCUAAUCCUCGAAACGCGGUCUUAGUACAGAUCGAGGGUUGUAACUCACCCUCGUGACGCUGGAAUCCGUAGUAAUCAGAGUUUAUCAGACUCUGGUGAAUACGUCCCUGCUCCUUGCACACACCGCCCGUCAAACCACUCGAGUAAAGUUUAAGUGAGGCUUAGGUUAUUACUUAAUUCAAACUUAGGCUUUGUGAGAUGGGUUAAGUCGUCACAAGGUA